UAAUAGUGUACUUGCGUUCUCUCUAGAAAGCCGUUAAGUUCGAAUUCAAGAGUUCUAAAGGAUUCACUUGAAUAGAAGGAAAUUAAGAACUUGGCAAGAUGAACUCUGCUGAAGAAGCUGUCAGUGCUGUUUUAAGACUUGCCCAGGAAAAUGCCGAGCUACGAGCACUCUCCGAGAAGACGGCUCUCGAGAAUGAGGAACUGAGAAGGGCCCUCGGCAAGG
Molecule: long non-coding RNA, 222 nt
Organism: Uloborus diversus
Lineage: Eukaryota; Metazoa; Arthropoda; Arachnida; Araneae; Uloboridae
Exons: 4
Source: RefSeq, a predicted model, not a curated record